GGAAGAGUGGUGUAGUGGUGAGUGUUGGAAUGUGACUCUGGAGACCAGGGUUCGAUUCCCAGCUUGGCCA
RNAcentral lists this transfer RNA (70 nucleotides) under Phrynosoma platyrhinos (Desert horned lizard). Its description in RNAcentral is "tRNA-OTHER". Lineage: Eukaryota; Metazoa; Chordata; Lepidosauria; Squamata; Phrynosomatidae. The record is from RNAcentral.